This 480-nucleotide ribosomal RNA is filed under the name uncultured bacterium. Its description in RNAcentral is "partial 16S ribosomal RNA". It matches the Rfam family "Bacterial small subunit ribosomal RNA", at positions 28 to 523 of the family's 1533-position model. The record is from RNAcentral.
GACGAACGCUGGCGGCGUGCCUAACACAUGCAAGUCGAGCGAGUGAAUCUCCUUCGGGAGUGAAGCUAGCGGCGGACGGGUGAGUAACACGUGGGCAACCUACCUCAUAGAGGGGAAUAGCCUUUCGAAAGGAAGAUUAAUACCGCAUAAGAUUGUAGCUUCGCAUGAAGUAGCAAUUAAAGGAGCAAUCCGCUAUGAGAUGGGCCCGCGGCGCCUUAGCUAGGUGGUGAGGUAACGGCUCACCAAGGCGACGAUGCGUAGCCGACCUGGGAGGGAGAUAGGCCACAUUGGGACUGAGACACGGCCCAGACUCCUACGGGAGGCAGCAGUGGGGAAUAUUGCACAAUGGGGGAAACCCUGAUGCAGCAACGCCGCGUGAGUGAUGACGGCCUUCGGGUUGUAAAGCUCUGUCUUCAGGGACGAUAAUGACGGUACCUGAGGAGGAAGCCACGGCUAACUACGUGCCAGCCGCCGCCGUAA